CAGCAGCCGCGGUAAUACCGGCGGCCCGAGUGGCGGUCACUAUUAUUGGGCUUAAAGCGUCCGUAGCCGGGUUGGGAAGUCCUCCGGGAAAUCUGGCCGCUUAACGGUCAGAAUGCCGGAGGAUACUCCCAGCCUAGGGAGCGGGAGAGGCCGAGGGGAUUCCCGGAGUAGGGGGGAAAUCCUAUAAUCCCGGGAGGAACACCUGUGGCGAAGGCGCUCGGCUGGAACGCGUCCGACGGUGAGGGACGAAGGCCAGGGGAGCAAACCGGAUUAGAUACCCGGGUAGUCCUGGCUGUAAACGAUGCGGACUUUGUGUCGGACAAGCUAUGAGCUUGUCCGGUGCCGGAGGGAAACCGUUAAGUCCGCCGCCUGGGGAGUACGGCCGCAAGGCUGAAACUUAAAGGAAUUGGCGGG
This 414-nucleotide ribosomal RNA is filed under the name uncultured microorganism. RNAcentral's name for it is "bacterial SSU rRNA". It matches the Rfam family "Archaeal small subunit ribosomal RNA", at positions 459 to 872 of the family's 1478-position model. The record is from RNAcentral.